UAGGGAAUAUUGCACAAUGGGGGAAACCCUGAUGCAGCGACGCCGCGUGAGUGAUGAAGGCCUUCGGGUCGUAAAGCUCUGUCGUAUGGGACUAACACAAUGAAGGUACCAUGCAAGAAAGGAUCGGCUAACUUCGUGCCAGCAGCCGCGGUAAGACGAGGGAUCCUAGCGUUGUUCGGAAUUAUUGGGCGUAAAGCGGGUGUAGGCGGAUUUAUAAGUCAGGUGUGAAAUCCCAGGGCUCAACCCUGGAAGUGCACUUGAUACUGUAGAUCUUGAGUGUGGUAGAGGUUACUGGAAUUCCUGGUGUAGUGGUAAAAUACGUAGAUAUCAGGAGGAAUACCGGAGGCGAAGGCGAGUAACUGGGCCAACACUGACGCUGAGACCCGAAAGCGUGGGGAUCAAACAGGAUUAGAUACCCAGGUAGUCCCUGAGCGGGCUGGCAAGGCGCAU
Molecule: ribosomal RNA, 450 nt
Filed under: uncultured bacterium
Lineage: Bacteria
Description: bacterial SSU rRNA
Rfam family: Bacterial small subunit ribosomal RNA
Source: RNAcentral